This 491-nucleotide ribosomal RNA is filed under the name uncultured bacterium. RNAcentral describes it as "partial 16S ribosomal RNA". It matches the Rfam family "Bacterial small subunit ribosomal RNA", at positions 28 to 523 of the family's 1533-position model. The record is from RNAcentral.
GACGAACGCUGGCUGCGUGCUUAACACAUGCAAGUCGAACGCUGAAACCCUGGUGCUUGCACCGGGGUGGAUGAGUGGCGAACGGGUGAGUAACACGUGAGUAACCUGCCCCGACUUCGGGAUAAGCCCGGGAAACUGGGUCUAAUACCGGAUAUGAGCGCCCCUCGCAUGAGGGCUGCUGGAAAGUCUUUUCGGUUGGGGAUGGGCUCGCGGCCUAUCAGUUUGUUGGUGAGGUAAUGGCCCACCAAGACGACGACGGGUAGCCGGCCUGAGAGGGCGACCGGCCACACAGGGACUGAGACACGGCCCAGACUCCUACGGGAGGCAGCAGUGGGGAAUAUUGCACAAUGGGGGAAACCCUGAUGCAGCGACGCAGCGCGCGGGAUGACGGCCUUCGGGUUGUAAACCGCUUUCAGCAGGGAAGAAGCCCCUUGGGGUGACGGUACCUGCAGAAGAAGUACCGGCUAACUACGUGCCAGCCGCCGCAGUAA